This 295-nucleotide long non-coding RNA is filed under the name Mytilus galloprovincialis (Mediterranean mussel). Lineage: Eukaryota; Metazoa; Mollusca; Bivalvia; Mytilida; Mytilidae. The record is from RNAcentral.
UUUCCCUCUAGACGUCUUUUGGUUAUUUUAUGAACUCUACCUUUUUGAAUUUACCUUUGUCAUGUUCAUGUUGUUUAGUUUUGGGUCAAAUUUAUUUUGUAAUUGGGUGUCUGUCGCAUUGAUGUAUAGCAUUGUCCAACUCAUCUCCUCUUAUUCAUAAUUUAUAAUAAAACUUUCAUCGCAAUACAUCAAUCAAAGAGUAAAACAUCAUUGGAGGUAUUUAAAUGAAAACAUUAAACUUGGACACCUUUUUAGAUCAAUAAAUGGUUUCAUGAUUAACCUUUUAAGAUAUUUU